CACCCCUCAAGCUCUGCUUGGUGUUGGGGGAACCUCGCCCCGGUUUUGGGGCGCCCCCGAAAAUCAGCGGCGGUGCGGCCGAACAUCUCUAGCGCAGUGACAUCAAAAUUUCUCGCUACGGAUUUCGUGCAGAGCGCCACGCCGAAAACCAUUUCUCUUGA
Molecule: unclassified non-coding RNA, 161 nt
Filed under: uncultured Lecanoromycetes
Lineage: Eukaryota; Fungi; Ascomycota; Lecanoromycetes
Description: sequence contains ITS2
Source: RNAcentral